Long non-coding RNA from Labrus mixtus (cuckoo wrasse), 2820 nucleotides. RefSeq lists it as uncharacterized. The record is from RefSeq and is a predicted model, not a curated record. NCBI's taxonomy places the organism in Eukaryota, Metazoa, Chordata, Actinopteri, Labriformes, Labridae. The transcript has 2 exons.
UUUCAAAAGUAAAUGAGGCCACUUAAAUUCAUAUUUUGCUCGGGAAAUGAAGAGUUUCACAUGUGCCAGAAACCAAGCCAAAAGCCAAAUUCACAGCCCGCCUCCAAGGGUAAAAGCAAACACAAGGUUCACCCUCGUUUCAGAACGAGCUUUCUGGGUGUUGUUUCGCCUCACUGCGAUUAUAUUUUCCUCUCAGUCCAGGUCCGUCUCAUCGUCCAAUCGCUGACUUGUAUCCUCUCCUAAACUGGAGGAAACACACCAGCUCCCCGCCCAGAAACAUACCGAGUCAACCAAAUCAACACCUGAAAGUCGAGUCAGAGGAAAGGGUCUCUGCAGACACAGUCACCACCACGGAGGACUACAAGUCAUGACUGAGCAGAAUUACUUUUGCGUGACUUUAUAGUUGUUGUUUGUUUUUUGUUUUUUUAUGUAAAAGCUACUGACGCUAUCUUUAAAAUGUGCACAUCUCACUUUGACAACCUCAGAGCAGACAGCCUCUCAGGGCCCGGACCCCCAGGUUGGGACCACAUUGGCUCCAUGUUUUAUAUUUCUGUCCUCUUUAUGUCUCAGUAACGUUUCUUUAGUAUUUCUAGUUUUACACAAUACAAAAAUGAUUUUCUUUCCUUUUUUGUGAACUGUGGCGUUCAUUGUCUAUAACUGUUGUUGAAAUUUGUUCUGCUGGAGUGAGCCGAGGGGAGCGGAGCUGAGGGGAAGUUGUAGCUCGGUCAUCCUUGUUUUUACUUUGAAAAAAAAGAGAAAAUGUAAUUAACCCAGAGUUCAUAGUAAUUUAGUUCAACUUAAAAUAGGGGGAACGACAAGGUAGGAAUGAGAACUUUUCUGGUUUUGGAAGAAGAGUUUCAGAGUCCACUUCUGGUGUUUGAGAUAAGAGCGAGCUCCCACAUUGUCGUUCAGAGAUAUCCCAAAAGGUAACGGAUGGGGUUGAGGUGAGGUGAGGGCUCCGUGCAGGCCGACAACAUUUGGAAAAAAAGAACAAGGACCAGAGACUAUAAAUAUAAAGUGGAAGAGUUACUACUGUAGCCUCUGCGACAUCACUCAUUGGGUUUGUAGACAACCACUUUAAAGCCUUGACUUUGGCCAGUAUAGCUGCUGGUGUCAAGGCUGUUUGGAGCCAGAAAUAUAAAACCAUAUGUUGAAACAUGACAGCUCUUUAAUGGUUGACAGGUUGCCAUGGUAGCUAAUUGUCAGAGGAAAGAACAUGGCCUCAUUUGCACCCUGCUUUCUCAUUUAUUUCACUCUAAAUGGGACCAAUGAAACUAUCUGUGCUGCAGACCAUGAGUGUUCAGGGUGUUUCUGUCCGCUGGUUUCAUUUACUGUCUCGCUCGUCACGGUUGUCGAUCACUAUGUUACGUAGCUCCGAAGAUUGAGCUGAUGUUUUUUCAGCAUCUGCUUCCAGGAUUUCAAACACAGGGAUGGAAAAAGUGAAAGAGUAUCCUCGCUGACACUUGAUAUGUAUUGACGAGACGGCACACAAAGCAGACACGUAACAGUGCUGUCUAAAGCCGCCGGAGUCCGAGUCGAGGCUCAGCUAAACUGCGGUUCAGAUCGAUGUCUGGGUGCAUGGCGGAGCAGGAGUUGAAGUCAAUACAGGCCGACGUUUUGUUUUGUUACAUUCACUGUCAGAUCAUUUGUGUUCAUGUUAGAGUGCAGCUAUGAUGCAUGUGCCAAUCUUUAAAAAAAUCUGCCGUUCUCGAGAAGCGGCAAAAACUGAAAAUGCCACUAAGCCAGCGCCGUGUAAAUACAGUGAAACUAUGAAUGAAUGUGAAGUUAAGGGUCGACUCGAAGUCACUGCUGAGGGGGCAAAACAUACCGUACACAGAAUGAGGCUUUUCAUUAAAGGAAGAAUGUACGACUUUUUGAUCCAGUAGAUGCCGCCUUGAGCUCCAGCAUGAAACCAAAACAAACUGCUGUUUGGCCACGCCUCCUCCAUACUGAAGCCUCCGCUCUCCUCCAGAGACACACCUCCAACCCCCCCUCCACUUCAAAGUUCACACAAAGGAGUUAUGAAUUAGAAUGCACCAUAGUUAAGCAACAUUAAGCGCAAUUGACGUACAAAGAUGUCCUUUGCUCGAGCUGCAAUCACCUGUGUCCUGCAUCGUUGUGCUAGCAUGCUAAUGUUAGCAUGUAGCUUCAUAUUGCACAUAAAUUGAAACAGAGUGACUGUGAUCUAAACACACUUCUGUGAGAUUCAAAUAAUCAGUGAGUAUGUUCUUCUUCUUCUCUCUAGUCCUUGACUUAAACCGGCCGUCCCGUCCAUGUAAACACGGCUCUGACAACAACACAGCCAGCGGGACUCGAGCUUCUCCCUCAUUGUAGACAGUCAUGACUCAGAGACACAUUUACACAGAACAGACUUUAUGAUUUAUUGAAGUGUGAAAUGUCGCACAUUCUUCCUUUAAAUAAAACUCCAGGUACAUUUGGAUUGGCCAGCAUGUCGGCCGCUCUUCUCAACGAACUGAUGCACCUUAAAUUCUGUGACUGAGAGAAAUAUCGUGAGAUGAAUGCGAGUGCCUUUGGUCCUUUUUCCCCUCCAAUGUUUCUGUUAUGUCUUCUACCUAAAUGAAUCCAUGACCUGUACAGCUGCUUUUCUGCUGCAGAGCAUUUUUCAUUUGAGACGUCAUACAAAGUGUUAAAUGUUUAUUCAGCAGUAAAAACUGUUCUCAUUGCACGUUACUGGUCAAAGGGGGAUAUGUGAGACCCCCCGCGACCCGUCGGCCUCUUUUCCAAUGGCAGUGUUAGAUAUUAGACAACGUCUAUGUUCAAUGGCAGUAUGAUUAAUAAAAGUCAUUUCUUUCCCAACAA